This 72-nucleotide transfer RNA is filed under the name Planctomycetota bacterium. RNAcentral describes it as "Planctomycetes bacterium (marine sediment metagenome) tRNA-Gln". It matches the Rfam family "tRNA". From Rfam's summary of the family: Transfer RNA (tRNA) molecules are approximately 80 nucleotides in length. Their secondary structure includes four short double-helical elements and three loops (D, anti-codon, and T loops). RNAcentral also lists the same sequence under 1 other name. The record is from RNAcentral. Lineage: Bacteria; Pseudomonadati; Planctomycetota.
UGGGGAAUAGUGUAAUUGGUAGCACGAGUGACUCUGAAUCACUUAGUCGGGGUUCAAGUCCCUGUUCCCCAG